Molecule: non-coding RNA, 115 nt
Organism: Triticum aestivum (bread wheat)
Lineage: Eukaryota; Viridiplantae; Streptophyta; Magnoliopsida; Poales; Poaceae
Source: Rfam
CAGGUACUCUCUCCGUUCGGAAUUACCUGUCAUAAAAAUGAAUGUAUCUACAACUAAAAUACAUCUAGAUACAUUCAUUUCUGGGACGAGUAAUUCCGAACCGAGGGAGUAGGUU